UAGUCUCGCACAGAUGCAUAUCAAUAAGCGGAGGAAAAGAAACUAACAAGGAUUCCCUUAGUAACGGCGAGUGAAGCGGGAAGAGCUCAAAUUUGAAAUCUUCAAGGUUUUACCUUGACGAAUUGUAGUUUAAAGAAGUGUUUUCUGUUGAAGUUUUGGUAAAAGUUCUUUGGAAUAGGACAUCAUAGAGGGUGAGAAUCCCGUAUUUGACCAUUAUUUUCAGCUGUGUGAUACACUUUCAAAGAGUCGGAUUGUUUGGGAAUGCAGUCCAAAAUGGGUGGUAAAUUUCAUCUAAAGCUAAAUAUUGGCGAGAGACCGAUAGCGAACAAGUACCGUGAGGGAAAGAUGAAAAGAACUUUGAAAAGAGAGUUAAACAGUACGUGAAAUUGUCAAAAGGGAAGCGUUUGACACCAGUGUUGUUUUCUCGAAAAUCAAUUAAAAAGAGUUAGAUUUUGUUGUGUAUUGACCUUAACAGCUUGCAUUUCAAUUUUCUUGCUUUUUUUAAUGCACUUUUCGUUUAACAAGUCAACAUCAGUUCCUUUUGUUGUAAAAAGGUCAUUGGAAGGCUGGCUUUCUUUUCGGAGAAAGUGUUUAUAGCCUUUGACUCCUGCAAUCGGAGAGACUGAGGUCUGCAGCGUAGAUCCUUCGGGGUUAGAUACAUUUGUGCUAAGUUAUAGCUUUUUAUAGACAACUUGUUGACUAUGAUUAGUCUUGUAGCUUACUCGCUUAUGCUAUUUUACCUACGCUUAGGAUGUUGAGCGCAUGUCUCUCUCU
Molecule: ribosomal RNA, 774 nt
Filed under: uncultured Neocallimastigales
Lineage: Eukaryota; Fungi; Neocallimastigomycota; Neocallimastigomycetes; Neocallimastigales
Description: partial large subunit ribosomal RNA
Rfam family: Eukaryotic large subunit ribosomal RNA
Source: RNAcentral